Molecule: ribosomal RNA, 586 nt
Filed under: uncultured bacterium
Lineage: Bacteria
Description: partial 16S ribosomal RNA
Rfam family: Bacterial small subunit ribosomal RNA
Source: RNAcentral
UGGGGAAUUUUGGACAAUGGGGGAAACCCUGAUCCAGCCAUCCCGCGUGUGCGAUGAAGGCCUUCGGGUUGUAAAGCACUUUUGGCAGGAAAGAAACGUCGCGGGUUAAUACCCCGCGGAACAUGACGGUACCUGCAGAAUAAGCACCGGCUAACUACGUGCCAGCAGCCGCGGUAAUACGUAGGGUGCAAGCGUUAAUCGGAAUUACUGGGCGUAAAGCGUGCGCAGGCGGUUCGGAAAGAAAGAUGUGAAAUCCCAGAGCUUAACUUUGGAACUGCAUUUUUAACUACCGGGCUAGAGUGUGUCAGAGGGAGGUGGAAUUCCGCGUGUAGCAGUGAAAUGCGUAGAUAUGCGGAGGAACACCGAUGGCGAAGGCAGCCUCCUGGGAUAACACUGACGCUCAUGCACGAAAGCGUGGGGAGCAAACAGGAUUAGAUACCCUGGUAGUCCACGCCCUAAACGAUGUCAACUAGCUGUUGGGGUCUUCGGACCUUGGUAGCGCAGCUAACGCGUGAAGUUGACCGCCUGGGGAGUACGGUCGCAAGAUUAAAACUCAAAUGAAUUGACGGGGUCAUAGCUGUUUCCU